This 460-nucleotide ribosomal RNA is filed under the name uncultured bacterium. RNAcentral's name for it is "partial 16S ribosomal RNA". It matches the Rfam family "Bacterial small subunit ribosomal RNA", at positions 338 to 795 of the family's 1533-position model. The record is from RNAcentral.
CCUACGGGUGGCAGCAGUGAGGAAUAUUGGUCAAUGGACGAGAGUCUGAACCAGCCAAGUAGCGUGAAGGAUGACUGCCCUAUGGGUUGUAAACUUCUUUUAUAUGGGAAUAAAAUGUUCCACGUGUGGGAUUUUGUAUGUACCAUAUGAAUAAGGAUCGGCUAACUCCGUGCCAGCAGCCGCGGUAAUACGGAGGAUCCGAGCGUUAUCCGGAUUUAUUGGGUUUAAAGGGAGCGUAGGUGGAUUGUUAAGUCAGUUGUGAAAGUUUGCGGCUCAACAGUAAAAUUGCAGUUGAAACUGGAAGUCUUGAUAACAGUAGAGGUGGGAGGAAUUGGUGGUGUAGGGGUGAAAGGCUUAGAUAUCACGAAAAACUCCGAUUGCGAAGGCAGUUCACGGGACUGCAACUGACACUGGGGCUCGAAAGUGUGGGUAUCAAACAGGAUUAGAUCCCCGAGUGGUC